Molecule: ribosomal RNA, 540 nt
Filed under: Triticum aestivum (bread wheat)
Lineage: Eukaryota; Viridiplantae; Streptophyta; Magnoliopsida; Poales; Poaceae
Description: partial small subunit ribosomal RNA
Source: RNAcentral
AUGACUGAUCCAGUCAGGAUCCUUGUAAAGCGUGAUGAGUUGACCCUAGAGGGCAUCAAACAAUUCUUUGUUGCUGUUGAGAAGGAGGAAUGGAAGUUUGAUACUCUGUGCGAUCUUUAUGAUACACUGACCAUCACUCAGGCUGUCAUUUUCUGCAAUACUAAGAGAAAGGUGGAUUGGCUUACUGAAAGGAUGCGCACCAACAACUUUACCGUAUCAGCUAUGCAUGGUGACAUGCCUCAGAAGGAAAGGGAUGCAAUCAUGAGUGAGUUCAGGAGUGGCACGACCCGUGUUCUGAUCACAACAGAUGUUUGGGCUCGAGGGCUGGAUGUUCAGCAGGUCUCUCUUGUCAUUAAUUAUGAUCUCCCGAAUAACCGUGAGCUUUACAUCCAUCGCAUCGGCCGCUCUGGGCGUUUUGGGCGCAAGGGUGUGGCGAUCAACUUUGUGCGCAAGGAUGACAUCCGUAUCCUGAGGGACAUUGAGCAGUACUACAGCACGCAGAUCGACGAGAUGCCGAUGAACGUCGCCGAUCUGAUCUGA